Molecule: long non-coding RNA, 1000 nt
Organism: Rhineura floridana
Lineage: Eukaryota; Metazoa; Chordata; Lepidosauria; Squamata; Rhineuridae
Exons: 3
Source: RefSeq, a predicted model, not a curated record
AUCCACUUUAAAAAACAAAACAAACCCAGAAAUGCAUUGAAAAGUUCCUAAUGGAAAGAUGUGUAAACACCCUGCAGUCAAAUCAGGAUAAAUGCAGGUUGCCAGGCCUGGCCUCCAAGAGGUCUUCUGUAGCUUUAAAAGUUGUGCAGAGGGGAGGGAGAAUUCCACCUUGUGGUUUUUCCCAUUACAGAGUUGCAAGAACACCUGCACUUGGCUGACUAUCUCUUCUCCUAAAGAUACAGGAUCAGUCUCAGGCCAUGGACCUGGCAACCCUACUGCCAAGUGAAGUGAGGUGGGCUUCUACUAAGGAGAGGGCAUUCUUGGUGAUGGCACCUUGAUUUAGGAAAAGCCUCCCCACAGAGGCUUGCAUACUACCAUCUUUUUGGUGUCUCAGGUGGAGCUCCUGAUAUAAUGUUAUCUAGGGCAUUGUGGGAACUUUAAUUGGAUGCUCAGACAUUCAGCUGUGGAAGACCUGGGUAGGAGGUGCCAAUGCCUCAGACUCAGUCACAAAAAAAAGUUACAAAUGGAGAGCGGAGUUGGAGUGGAAAGCACUUCAAAUGGAGAACCGCCCUCUGUAUGGAUUGACCACCCUACCCACGAUGAGGCAGAUUAUGUUGAGAGGUAGUGACUUAAUCCAAGCUCCUCCACUGCUCUGGGCUGACUGAGAGCAGUCCCACCUCCCUAUGAAAGAAGCUGUUGCCUGGAAUUGUCUUGCUGUGCUGGGUGAAGAAGCCUCUUUCCAGAGGGUGUCAACUGGCACUGGGUUGGUGCUGAGCAGCUAUUUCUGACAUGCUAUUUUUGAAUUAUUCAGAGUCUGUAUUGCUUUGCAUUAAUUGUUAAUUGAAUUGUUCACUUUUGCUUUGCUUUUACAUUGUUGUGGGCUUUUUAAUAUGAUUACAUUGAGGGAAAUGUUGGCUCAUUUUUAAUGCUUUGUUAUUGUAAGUCACUUUGAGCUCAGCGUUCUUGGAGAAGCAGUAGGCAAAUAUUAAAUCAAAUCAAA